This 307-nucleotide ribosomal RNA is filed under the name uncultured eukaryote. RNAcentral's name for it is "partial 18S ribosomal RNA". It matches the Rfam family "Eukaryotic small subunit ribosomal RNA", at positions 1470 to 1796 of the family's 1831-position model. The record is from RNAcentral.
CCCUUAGACGUUCUGGGCCGCACGCGCGCUACACUGACGAAGGCAACGAGCUUUCCUUUACCGAAAGGUACGGGUAAUCUUUUGAAACUUCGUCGUGCUGGGGAUAGAUCCUUGCAAUUUUUGAUCUUAAACGAGGAAUGCCUAGUAAGCGCAAGUCAUCAACUUGCGUUGAUUACGUCCCUGCCCUUUGUACACACCGCCCGUCGCUACUACCGAUUGAAUGGUUUAGUGAGGACUUCGGAUCCGCGACUCGUUUGUGGAGAAGUUGGACAAACUCAGUCAUUUAGAGGAAGUAAAAGUCGUAACA